UACGGGGGGGGCAAGCGUUGUUCGGAAUUACUGGGCGUAAAGGGCGCGUAGGCGGCCCGCUAAGUCGAACGUGAAAUCCCCGAGCUCAACUCGGGAACUGCGUCCGAUACUGGCGGGCUUGAAUCCGGGAGAGGGAUGCGGAAUUCCAGGUGUAGCGGUGAAAUGCGUAGAUAUCUGGAGGAAUACCGGUGGCGAAGGCGGCAUCCUGGACCGAGAUUGACGCUGAUGAGCGAAAGCUAGGGGAGCAAACGGG
Molecule: ribosomal RNA, 253 nt
Filed under: uncultured bacterium
Lineage: Bacteria
Description: partial 16S ribosomal RNA
Rfam family: Bacterial small subunit ribosomal RNA
Source: RNAcentral